ACGUGGACAGAUCCUAGCCGGAACUCGGUGCGAGCCAACCGCGGCGCUGCACACUCACCAUUGGCUGAGAGCUGCGGCAGGGGCAGGCCCAGGCUUGCGAUUGGCUGUUGGAGCAGUGUCUGGAGGGCUUAGCGGUCGGCAGUCGCUGACAGUCAUGGAGACCUCGUCGGUGCUGACCCGGGGAGCUGCAAGGCAGCGGAGCCCCGCGGCCCCGGAGAAGCAGGCGCGGGACCAGACGGAGCGGAGGCCGGGGCGGCGGAGGCAGGGGCGGAGGUGCGCACGGCUGGGCUGAGCUCCAGGUCUGGGCUUGGGGUGGCCAUGCUGCCUGUCGUGCAGCGCGACACUGUCUGUCGCUUGCGGACAAACCUACGUCCCUCCAUCCUUCUAUCCCCGGUCGCAGACGGGCCACCCGAGCAAGAUCAACGAGGAUCAAGAGGAGGAAGCAGUCUUUAGAGAGGUGGUCAGUUUCACCCCGGAUCCUUUACCAGCUAGAUAUUAUGACAAGGAUACUACCAGACCUAUCAGCUUUUACCUGUCGACGCUGGAGGAGCUCCUGGCCUGGACCCCGCUCAUGGAGGAUGGCUUCAAUGUAGCCCUGGAACCCCUGGUGUGUCGCCGGCCUCCACUCAGCAGCCCCAGGCCCCGGACCCUGCUGUGCCACGACAUGAUGGGUGGUUACCUGGAGGACAGGUUCAUUCAGGGCUCAGAGGUGCAGAACCCCUAUUCCUUCUACCACUGGCAGUAUAUCGACAUCUUUGUGUACUUCAGCCACCACACGGUCACCAUCCCCCCAGUGUGCUGGACCAAUGCCGCACACAGGCACGGGGUCUGCGUGCUGGGGACCUUCAUCACAGAGUGGCAAGAGGGAGGCAGGCUCUGCGAAGCCUUCCUGGCCGGGGAUGAGCCCUCCUUCCAGGCCGUGGCCGAUCGGCUGGUCCAGAUUGCUCAGUUCUUUCGUUUUGACGGCUGGCUCAUCAACAUCGAGAACUCCCUGACUCCAGCUGCCGUGAGGAACACACCUUUAUUUCUCCAGUACCUUACCGCACAGCUCCAUCAGCAGGUCCCCGGAGGUCUGGUGCUGUGGUACGACAGUGUGGUACAGAGCGGGCAGCUCAAGUGGCAGGAUGAACUGAAUGAUCAGAACCGGGUCUUCUUUGACUCCUGCGAUGGCUUCUUUACCAACUAUAACUGGCGGGAGGAUCACCUGCAGCGGAUGGUGGCACAGGCCGGGGAGCGCCUGGCUGACGUGUACGUGGGAGUGGAUGUGUUUGCUCGGAGCAAUGUGGUCGGAGGCCGUUUUGAUACUGACAAGUCCCUGGAGCUGAUCCGCAAACAUGGCUUCUCGGCGGCGCUGUUUGCUCCUGGGUGGGUGUAUGAGUGUCUGGAGAAGAGCGACUUCUUUCAGAACCAGGACAAGUUCUGGAGCCUGCUGGAGCGCUUCCUUCCCACACACAGUAUCUGCUCCCUGCCCUUCGUCACCUCUUUCUGCCUGGGCCUGGGUACUCGAAGAGUCUGCUACGGCAAGGAGCAAGCAGUGGGGCCCUGGUACCACCCUAGCGCCCAGGAGACACAGCCCCUCUUUGGUGAACAUAAGCUGGCUGGUGACAGUCGGGGCUGGGUGAAGACGCACUGCUGCCUGACUGAUGCCUGGCACGGGGGCAGCUCUCUGCUGCUCCGGGGCCUGAUCCCGCCUGAGGUUGACAGUGUAGCUGUGAGGCUGUUCUCUCUGCACAUCCCAGUGCCACCCAAGGUUUUCCUGUCCAUGGUGUACAAGUUUGAAGGCUCAACAGAUGUCCAGGUGGCUUUGGAGCUCACAACAGGGGAUGCCAGCAGCUGUCAUGUGGGUGGCAUGUUGGUGUUAAAUGAAACUGGCUCACGGCACAGCCCCAGACCCCUCCGGGUACCCCCCACCAGGCUGGCCAGAUGGGCCAGCAGUUGUGGCCAGCAGCUCAGUGGGGGCUGGAUUCAACGGCACCUGCUGUAAUCCUGGGCCCUGUGACCUGGGGUACCCCUGGGAUGCUUCCCCUUCAUGCUGUGGCUAGGGCCCUCGCCCAGCCAGCUUGUGAGCAGCCUGGGUGCUCUUUCAGCUGCUAUGAGGUAAACCUUCGUGGGUGCCUGCUCCAGGACCUCUUGGUGAGCUUCUCACGGCCGCCAGGCAGCCGGGAGGAGGAGAGCUUCAUUUGUCGCCUUGGAGAGAUCCAGGUGGUUGAUGCCAGCAGCCUUCUGGCCCCUCUGCCCCGGGUGCAGAAUGUCACCAUUUCUCAGAUACGAUGGCUUCCUCUGAUCACCGGGUCUGAGGGCCUCCCUACCCGGCUCCUCCUCAGCUGCACCCUGCACUGGUCCUACCUGCUGCUCCGAGCCCGCUGCUUCCGCAUUCACUGCUGGAAACGGACAGGAAGCAGCAGCUCUGUGGCAGAGUCCCCAGAGACAGAGAAGCCCACGUUCCUGGGCCUGGCUUUCGCCAACCAGUACCGUGUGGUGGACUUGGCUGUGGAGGCUGCUGGAUUUGGGCAGGAUGGUCGUGUGGAGUUCCUGGUGGAGCCUGUCCCCAGGGAGGGUUUCCUGGUGCCCCAGGCUGAGUGGGGAAAGGCGGUCCUGCUCUUCUCGGUCCCUCAGUGAGCCCGCUCCAGAGCACAGCGUCUCCUCGCCCACCUCAAGACUCGAGGUUUCCUCUUGGCCAGCCGCCCAAGGCUGCGUGGACUGCCGAGGACAGCCGGAUCCCCAGGAGAUGAGGUCUCCAGGUUCUGGCUGUGACUCAGGAAGCUGUGCCCCACGGGUGCUAGGCGAGUUCCCCUUCCACAGUGCUCUCCGUGGGAUGUGGUUCUCAAGGAAGGAGGAGAAAGUUUGAGGUUUCUUCCGGAAAAUUCCAUAAAGGCUGUUUCUCCGAGGCUGAAAAGGUGCUUCUUUUGAGAAUGGCGGCCAUUUAUCCUGUAGCUUUGACAAUCAGAGGCAAACGGCACGGGUGGCAGGCAGUAAGGAUCCCUGAAGACUGAGAGGAUAGUCAGGGGAGGAGUGGGAGUCAGGGUUGCUCACGGAGUAGCUGGAGUGGUGCUCCCCAGGACCAGGAGCACCAUCAGGUGGCUCCUGGCACCACACCCCCACCUGUAUAAGGUGGGCCAGUCACAUGUCACACUUCAGACUAACUGUAUGGAUGGUGGCUCUGGCAGCUGAAUGUCCCAGAGAAGCCCAAAUUCCUCACCUGUGUGAUAUGAGGGUGCUAACCACCAUCUCAUGUCCCUCAAGAGGCAGGUGAGCCCCGCCUGCUUCCAGGUACAGUGGCAUCCUUAGCUGUACCGAAGCCCUGUUGACACUAGGCUGCGUGGGAACUUCCUGCUGUGUGACUGCAACCUGGGUGAUGACCCCACCACUUUCCCCCCGCCUCUCCCAGUGCUUCGUGCUCAGGGCACAGUGGAACUCUCAUCCUUUCUGUGUUCCAAAUGUGACCCUCUUUGACACAGCUCUGUGGUCUGACCUGUGGCCCUCAUGCUGUAGUAUGGGGAGAGGCCGCAAGAUGGCAGAGCAGCCUGUUGCCAUCUUCCAUGGUGUAGGGACUGAAUGGAUGGGGUUUCCUCAGAUUCCUGAGUGUGGGGCAAGGAGAGAGGCUCCUGCCUGCAUGGGCUGAGCGCUGCCCUGUCACCCCCAUCUUCCUUAAUUUCCUGGGCACCCUGUUCCUCUUGAGUGAAGUAUAAGGGUGAGGACCUAGAACCUGAGAUUGGGAAAUUCUGCACUGUUCCAUGUGGUUCUACCAGCUCUCACAUAGACAGGGUGCAGGGCAGGGCCUCUGGUAAAGCCCAGGCUACUACUGUACUCUGGCAUGGCUCUGCCAACCUUGUACGGGAUUGGGGUAGGGAGAGUACCUGGAGCUGUGCUGGCCUCCCUCUGGUUUGUCGUCCAGAAUCUGCCCCGGGAGCCUUGGCUCACCCAUGCCCAGCCAGGGUUCUGUGUGACUGGAGUGGAAUCUGUGGGGAGCAGAGUGGCUGGCUGGCUCUGGGCAGGGCAGCAAUUUCUGAAUGCCCUGCUUCCCCGUGGUACAGAGUAUGCUUUUAAAAGUGCUGGUUCCUUCAAAUAUUUUAUGCAGAGAAGGAGAGAAAAUUUAUAGUGGCAAUUAUUCCCUCACAGUCUGGUGAGCAAGCAAUUAGAAGGAAGGGGGCUUAGCGGAGCCACGGCGUGAGGUAGAGCAGCGCAACCUCACUUCCCAGGAGCACGGCCCCCAGUCCCGGCAACGCUGGCUCCUGCGCAGGAAAAUUAAUCUGCCGGCAUUUAAGCCUAGGCCCCUCUGGUGGAUAUAAUCGCUCAGAAAUAAAUUAUCCAAUGUGAAAAA
Molecule: RNA transcript, 4321 nt
Organism: Mus musculus (house mouse)
Lineage: Eukaryota; Metazoa; Chordata; Mammalia; Rodentia; Muridae
Gene: Engase
Gene name: endo-beta-N-acetylglucosaminidase
Exons: 14
Source: RefSeq, marked validated